Molecule: long non-coding RNA, 2584 nt
Organism: Balaenoptera acutorostrata (minke whale)
Lineage: Eukaryota; Metazoa; Chordata; Mammalia; Artiodactyla; Balaenopteridae
Exons: 3
Source: RefSeq, a predicted model, not a curated record
GUUCGCCGUUUUGUUUUCCGAACAGUGGGCCUCCGCGGUCUCGGGAACAAAUACCCUGAAUCUCGUGCCCAGGCAGAACCACCUGGUGCUUCCAGGCGGCUUGAGAAGGGCGAGGCUUCGGAGCCUCCAACCUGAUAAAGGUGGGACUUGGGCAAAUGUCGAGAGACCUAAGUCUGGGACUAGAGUUGGCCCCCACGGCGCACAUUCUUGCUCAGAAGCAGCAGAUUGCAAAAAUCAGGAGGUGUCGGGCCAGGCGGGGGAUGAAGGCAAGUAAGCUCCGGCGCUUCGCCUCCGGACCCCAACACAGCCUCCGCGGAUUUGGGAGCUGAACGGAGUCGACGACUCUGCAGAGACGCCUCUGGCCAGAGAGCAGAUGGCACAGGCCUGCACACUCGCCAUCUGUAAGGUCCACCCGGAAGCGGCUUGGCCUUGCGGAUGGUAAUAGAUGGACAAGGUGGAGACAGAAUUCCCAGGCAGCAGGAUGGUAAACAAGUGCAGAUCUGAGAAACAGCCUGCUGACCUUUGGUAACGUGUAUAGCAACAGCAGACAAGAUUCCUGGAGGAACAGCAACUAUUAUAGGUCUGUGAUGAUAAAAGCCACGGAACAGAGACAAUUGAGCAAAGAAGACAGAGGGAGCCUGGGAACUUCAUGACAUUCUUGAACAGUGGUGCCAGCCCUGGAUGAUUGACCUCAGGACCUCUUGCUAAAUGACAUAUACUAACUCCUUUCUGUUUAACCCACUGGAGUAGAAUUUUCUUUUGUAGUGAAUCCAAUCCUAACUGAUUGACUAAUAUGUAUUAGCACCUGUUGUGGGCCAGUGGAGUUCUAAGAAUGUUUAUGUACUAACGUUUUUAAUCCUCACAAUGAAUGACUUUAUGAGAUAGACCAAAGGUUCUCAAAGUGUGAUCCCUGAGCCAGCAGCAUUAGCAUCACCUGGAAACUUGUUAGAAAUGCAGAUUUGGGGGCCUGACCCCAGACCUCCUGAAGCAGAAUCUCUGGGAGUGGGGCCCAGCAGUCUGUGUUUUAACAAACCCUCCAAGCGAUUCUGAUGUAUGCUGAAGUUUGACAACUUUAUCUCUGUAGAUAGGGUAUUGUUGCUGUCCCCAUUUUACAGAUAAGUAGACUGAGCUGAAUUUAAGUCACUUGCCCAAUGUCACACAACCAGCAAGACUGACUCCUAAGUCUGUGUUUGUAGCCGCUAUGUUACAUCACAUGUUAAGAACUCCUGCUCUAAAGCAGUAGUCUUCAAAAUUUGAAAGCAUACUCCUCUGAAAAAUUAUGUACCCCCCUGCACAUUUUUAGAUCAACAUCUAAAAAUUUCACAUAAGUUCAAACAGUUGUAAAGAAUCUGAUUUCCAGUACAUUGUAAAUUGUGACAUUUCAAAAUGUGUUCCAUCACUCUUCUAAAUGAAUCUAAAUACCAUAGUGAUUAUUUUUAAAAUGGACUAUCAUCUAUUGAAAAAAAUAAAUUUUCUCUACAUUUGAAAUUUUACAUCCUCUCUUUUGUAUUUGAACUCAUAUUUUCAUUUCCCUACCCCACAAAAUACAUUUUAUUGUAACAUGGCUGUUUUUGAUCUACUCUGUUGUGCUUUCUGCAACAAAAAAGUAUAAACAUUGAACUUAAUUUAAGAAAAAAUUUCCGGUGACUAUAUAGCUUUGAGUUAACAAUUUGUUUUCUGCAUUAAGUUAUUGCAAUUUUUAUUAGAUCGAAUCACUGUGAGUGUAUGUUUUGAUAAGUUAUAGACAUACAAACUAAAAUUGAAUUGCAAACUCAUCUCUUAAUGAGAUGGAUGGGACUAAUAUUUUCUAAUUAAUUUGUGUAUCCAUGGAUGAAUAGUCCUUGUUGCAAGACUGAAACAAGUUCAACAUCAAUUUUAUGUCUAUUUCAUUAUUAUAGAUAUGAGAUAAAUAAGUAGAUAGGAAUUAAAGGAGUUUUGAAAUAGGAAUGUGAUUCUAAUUUUUCUAACCUCUAUAUUACAUGCUAAAACCACAUUAUCAUUAAAAUUUUUUUUUUUGGCCGCUCAGUGUGGCAUGUGGGAUCUUAGUUCUCCAACCAGGGAUUGAACCCGAACUCGCACCCCUUGUAUUCGAAGCAUGGAGUCUUAGCCACUGGGCCGCCAAGGAAGUCCCCAUUAAAAAUUUCUGUUAAUCUAUUAUUGACAACUGGGUUAGACCCUCUUUCAUGUUUAAAAGCAAAUACAAUAAGAAACCACCUGAGUUGCAAAAGAAUUUUGUUAACCAGUCUUUUAAGACAUUCACUUUCUGACACCAUUUUUUAGAGUCCUUUUGUCAGAUGCUUCGAGGAGGCUUUGUGUCUUGGGGAAAUAUGAAGGGUAAGAUACGGGAUGGUUGAGAGUUAUGUCCUUUUUCCUUAGUGGGAGAAGAGUUGUGACAAAAGGACGUGGGAAAGCAGAAAGUUUUCAGGCAGAUCACUCAGUGAAUCCACAUGGGUGUCCAAGGUCAGGAAAAUGAUUCCCUUAAAACUGUCAGUGUCCAUUUAUUCCCAGGGAUAUACACAUUCUAGUUUUAAAACUAAAGGAUACUAAGAGAUACCUCUUAGAAUUACCAUUGUCAAGUCUCUUC